UGAUUGGCUCCUUUCUAUUUUGGCCCUUGUAUGUAGGUGACAUAGGGACCUCAGACUGUAAGCUCCUUGGGGGCGGGGACUGAUGUC
Molecule: long non-coding RNA, 87 nt
Organism: Nanorana parkeri
Lineage: Eukaryota; Metazoa; Chordata; Amphibia; Anura; Dicroglossidae
Exons: 3
Source: RefSeq, a predicted model, not a curated record